ACACCGAAAGCUGCCGUCACCGUGCGCUCCCGCCCAAAACUUCGCGUCGAGAGGAGGAGGGAGAGAGCAGCUCUGCCACCGUGCGCCGCCGCAGUCGCCGCCACCGCCUCGCUCGUCUCCCCUUUCUCUCCUUUCUCGCCACGAGAGGACGACGAGUGGGUGGGAACCGGUUCGGCUAGAUCCAAGGGGCGGGCGGCGGAAGCAGAGGUGGUUGUGCUCUGCUCCGGCCCGACGGACUCCACGAAGGCGGCGGGGGAAGGAGAUGACGCGGGGAGCGGCGGAGCUUGGAGACCGCGGAGAGGAAGCCUCUCGGCAGCGGCGGCUUCUCGCCUUCUCCGCGUUGAGGGCCACGACCGCCGAGGCCGAGCCGUCGACGCCGCCGGCAAUUCGUCGCGGUGCAGAGUGCCGACGCUGAUCUAUCCUCGGCGAGGCGGCGACCGGGACGACUCCCUCGACUUCUCCCCAUCCGGCCGGCGAUCGCCGGUGACAGGAAAAUUGGAAAUGCCUGUGGUUGCUGCGAGUCUAGCUGGCAAUACUAUAAAAAGGGUCUCUAACUGUGGGAACGUCACAUCAGAAUCGCAAAUCUUCUCCAACCCAUCCAGCCGGUCGCAGAAGGACACCCUCAAAACAGAGAGGCUGGGAAACAUAUCAUGUAAUAUUGUUGGGACAUACUCCACUGGAGACAUCGUUAUUCCUUCUCCGAAAUACAUAUUCAACAAGUCUAGCACUUGCAAUUCUGUCAGACUAGAUAUGACCCCGUCUGGUAUUGUCUUUAUGUUGGUACCUUGCAGAUACAAGAAUUUGAGUUUAAUGAGGAAUCCAAGACACUUGGGCACUUCAGAUAUUGAAAAGUUGUAUGACAAAUUGAGGUACUCCAAAUUUGUUAAGGAGCAUAGUUCUUCUGGUAUAUUCUCGAGUUUGUUCCAGCUCAAAUCAAGGGGAAAUGGGAUGCCUGCUUCUUUUGGGUCAAGAAUCUCCCUGAGGUCAUCCACCAACAGAAGGAAACUUCUUUUCUCAAGGAAUUUCGAAAUCCUGGUAACAAGUUUUGCGUCACGGUCGUCUUGGUUUAUCCCCAGCCUCCUUGCAAUCUGUUCCCUGAUGUUUCUUGAGGCCGUGACAAAAAUGACAAACUGAAAGUCAGAAUGUUCAUGGAAUGAGUUGUUGAUCUUCUUUAGAAUAUGUGUUUUGCCCACCCCAGCUGCACCCCGUAUUCCAAUCAUUUCCACUGAAUCAUCCGCAAUGUACCGGAGAGCAUCCUGAAGAACAAUGUUUUGGCUUCGCAGUUCAAAAGACUGGAUUGGGAUGUAUUCGGUAGGGGUUUGGAGAACAUCGACAACAAUAUCGCUGGGCUGAUUGUCAAGGCAUUCUUGGACCUCAUGAAGCUUCUCAGCCGCACUCUGGCUAACAUCUAAGUUCAGUUGGUGUUGCCCACAUAUUAUUUCUGCAGAAGAUGUGAUGCUAUCCACUCUACGUAGCCACGAGAUCACCCCAUUCGUUGGUGUCUUGCCAUUUCGCUCUGCAAUCUCAAUCUUUUGGCGGACUUCGUUGCUCCUCGCAAGCAUAUUCUCGGUUGCCACCUUGAGAUUCCUCACAAUUGUUCCUUUCUUGAAAGCAAAAUGAACAGAAUUGAGUUAAUGUUAAGGAUUGGAGCUAAGCUAAGAUUAAGUCAAAAUAUCAAAGACAAAUUACAGUUGAACUCCAGU
Molecule: long non-coding RNA, 1703 nt
Filed under: Oryza sativa Indica Group (long-grained rice)
Lineage: Eukaryota; Viridiplantae; Streptophyta; Magnoliopsida; Poales; Poaceae
Description: lncRNA OsLiXu_Ung0050240
Source: RNAcentral